AAUAGAUACCCCGGUAGUCCACGCCGUAAACGAUGGAUACUAGCUGUUUGAGCGCAAGUUUGAGUGGCUAAGCGAAAGUGAUAAGUAUCCCACCUGGGGAGUACGGGCGCAAGCCUGAAACUCAAAGGAAUUGACGGGGGCCCGCACAAGCGGUGGAGCAUGUGGUUUAAUUCGAUGAUACGCGAGGAACCUUACCGAGGGUCUUAAAUGUAGAUUGACGUAUUUGGAAACAGAUAUUUCUUCGGACAAUUUACAAGGUGCUGCAUGGUUGUCGUCAGCUCGUGCCGUGAGGUGUCAGGUUAAGUCCUAUAACGAGCGCAACCCUGUUGUUAGUUGCCAGCGAGUAAUGGUCGGGAACUCUAGCAAGACUGCCAGUGUAAACUGUGAGGAAGGGUGGGGAUGACGUCAAAUCAUCACGGCCCUUACGUCCUGGGCCACACACGUGCUACAAUGGCCGGUACAGAGAGCAGCCACUUAGCGAUAAGGGAGCGAAUCUAUAAAGCCGGUCACAGUUCGGAUCGGAGUCGUGCUAACCG
This 536-nucleotide ribosomal RNA is filed under the name uncultured bacterium. RNAcentral describes it as "bacterial SSU rRNA". It matches the Rfam family "Bacterial small subunit ribosomal RNA", at positions 777 to 1314 of the family's 1533-position model. The record is from RNAcentral.